GACGAACGCUGGCGGCGUGCUUAACACAUGCAAGUCGAACGGAAAGGCCCUGCUUUUGUGGGGUGCUCGAGUGGCGAACGGGUGAGUAACACGUGAGUAACCUGCCCUUGACUUUGGGAUAACUUCAGGAAACUGGGGCUAAUACCGGAUAGGAGCUCCUGCUGCAUGGUGGGGGUUGGAAAGUUUCGGCGGUUGGGGAUGGACUGGCGGCUUAUCAGCUUGUUGGUGGGGUAGUGGCUUACCAAGGCUUUGACGGGUAGCCGGCCUGAGAGGGUGACCGGCCACCAUGGGACUGAGAGAGGGCCCAGACUCCUACGGGAGGCAGCAGUGGGGAAUAUUGCACAAUAGGCGGAAGCCUAAUGCAGCAACGCCGCGUGCGGGAUGACGGCCUUCGGGUUGUAAACCGCUUUCGCCUGUGACGAAGCGUGAGUGACGGUAAUGGGUAAAGAAGCACCGGCUAACUACGUG
Molecule: ribosomal RNA, 468 nt
Filed under: uncultured bacterium
Lineage: Bacteria
Description: partial 16S ribosomal RNA
Rfam family: Bacterial small subunit ribosomal RNA
Source: RNAcentral